Molecule: long non-coding RNA, 550 nt
Filed under: Dermacentor andersoni
Lineage: Eukaryota; Metazoa; Arthropoda; Arachnida; Ixodida; Ixodidae
Description: uncharacterized LOC126521659
Source: RNAcentral
AUCCCGAAGAUAUUGCAAUACCGGGCCCACCCGGGGCGGAGGUGAAGCAGACAUUAAGAACUCCCCAUAUAUAGGCCGAUCCCGAAGAUAUUGCAAUACCGGGCCCACCCGCGGCGGAGGUGAAGCAGACAUUAAGAACUCCCCAUAUAUAGGCCGAUCCCGAAGAUAUUGCAAUACCGGGCCCACCCGGGGCGGAGGUGAAGCAGACAUUAAGAACUCCCCAUAUAUAGGCCGAUCCCGAAGAUAUUGCAAUACCGGGCCCACCCGGGGCGGAGGUGAAGCAGACAUUAAGAACUCCCCAUAUAUAGGCCGAUCCCGAAGAUAUUGCAAUACCGGGCCCACCCGGGGCGGAGGUGAAGCAGACAUUAAGAACUCCCCAUAUAUAGGCCGAUCCCGAAGAUAUUGCAAUACCGGGCCCACCCGCGGCGGAGGUGAAGCAGGCAUUAAGAACUCCCCAUACGUAGGCCGAUCCCGAAAAUUCCGAAGCGCGCGUUAUAGGUUCCCGAGUCCACAGGGGUAUGUGCCAUUGAUCUUGGAGCCUUCUUGCACU